RNAcentral lists this ribosomal RNA (274 nucleotides) under uncultured bacterium. RNAcentral describes it as "partial 16S ribosomal RNA". It matches the Rfam family "Bacterial small subunit ribosomal RNA", at positions 523 to 796 of the family's 1533-position model. The record is from RNAcentral.
AUACGGAGGGUGCAAGCGUUGUUCGGAAUCACUGGGCGUAAAGGGCGCGCAGGCGGAUUGGUCAGUCAGAUGUGAAAGCCCACGGCUUAACCGUGGAAGUGCAUUUGAAACUGCCAUUCUUGAGUACCAGAGGGGAAAGUGGAAUUCCCGGUGUAGAGGUGAAAUUCGUAGAUAUCGGGAGGAAUACCGGUGGCGAAGGCGACUUUCUGGCUGGAUACUGACGCUGAGGCGCGAAAGCGUGGGGAGCAAACAGGAUUAGAAACCCUAGUAGUCC